UCGUAACAAGGUUUCCGUAGGUGAACCUGCGGAAGGAUCAUUACCGAGUGCGGGUCUUUAUGGCCCAACCUCCCACCCGUGACUAUUGUACCUUGUUGCUUCGGCGGGCCCGCCAGCGUUGCUGGCCGCCGGGGGGCGACUCGCCCCCGGGCCCGUGCCCGCCGGAGACCCCAACAUGAACCCUGUUCUGAAAGCUUGCAGUCUGAGUGUGAUUCUUUGCAAUCAGUUAAAACUUUCAACAAUGGAUCUCUUGGUUCCGGCAUCGAUGAAGAACGCAGCGAAAUGCGAUAACUAAUGUGAAUUGCAGAAUUCAGUGAAUCAUCGAGUCUUUGAACGCACAUUGCGCCCCCUGGUAUUCCGGGGGGCAUGCCUGUCCGAGCGUCAUUGCUGCCCUCAAGCCCGGCUUGUGUGUUGGGCCCUCGUCCCCCGGCUCCCGGGGGACGGGCCCGAAAGGCAGCGGCGGCACCGCGUCCGGUCCUCGAGCGUAUGGGGCUUCGUCUUCCGCUCCGUAGGCCCGGCCGGCGCCCGCCGACGCAUUUUUUUGCAACUUGUUUUUUUCCAGGUUGACCUCGGAUCAGGUAGGGAUACCCGCUGAACUUAAGCAUAUCA
RNAcentral lists this unclassified non-coding RNA (609 nucleotides) under Aspergillus alabamensis. RNAcentral describes it as "sequence contains 18S rRNA gene, ITS1, 5.8S rRNA gene, ITS2, 28S rRNA gene". The stretch from base 231 to 384 matches the Rfam family "5.8S ribosomal RNA". The record is from RNAcentral. Lineage: Eukaryota; Fungi; Ascomycota; Eurotiomycetes; Eurotiales; Aspergillaceae.